Molecule: ribosomal RNA, 302 nt
Filed under: uncultured bacterium
Lineage: Bacteria
Description: partial 16S ribosomal RNA
Rfam family: Bacterial small subunit ribosomal RNA
Source: RNAcentral
GCAGCAGCCGCGGUAAUACAGAGGGUGCGAGCGUUAAUCGGAUUUACUGGGCGUAAAGCGUGCGUAGGCGGCUUCUUAAGUCGGAUGUGAAAUCCCUGAGCUUAACUUAGGAAUUGCAUUCGAUACUGGGAAGCUAGAGUAUGGGAGAGGAUGGUAGAAUUCCAGGUGUAGCGGUGAAAUGCGUAGAGAUCUGGAGGAAUACCGAUGGCAAAGGCAGCCAUCUGGCCUAAUACUGACGCUGAGGUACGAAAGCAUGGGGAGCAAACAGGAUUAGAUACCCCUGUAGUCCCUGUCUCUUAUAC